Molecule: ribosomal RNA, 226 nt
Filed under: uncultured bacterium
Lineage: Bacteria
Description: partial 16S ribosomal RNA
Rfam family: Bacterial small subunit ribosomal RNA
Source: RNAcentral
CUUAGUGGCGCACGGGUGCGUAACGCGUGGGAAUCUGCCCCUUGGUUCGGAAUAACAGUUGGAAACGACUGCUAAUACCGGAUGACGACGUAAGUCCAAAGAUUUAUCGCCGAGGGAUGAGCCCGCGUAGGAUUAGGUAGUUGGUGUGGUAAAGGCGCACCAAGCCGACGAUCCUUAGCUGGUCUGAGAGGAUGAUCAGCCACACUGGGACUGAGACACGGCCCAG